This 108-nucleotide non-coding RNA is filed under the name Peptoniphilus asaccharolyticus. Its description in RNAcentral is "TPP sequence". It matches the Rfam family "TPP riboswitch aptamer (THI element)". Rfam says of the family: Vitamin B(1) in its active form thiamin pyrophosphate (TPP) is an essential coenzyme that is synthesised by coupling of pyrimidine and thiazole moieties in bacteria. The record is from RNAcentral. Lineage: Bacteria; Bacillati; Bacillota; Tissierellia; Tissierellales; Peptoniphilaceae.
UUUAGUUAUAAAGGGAGCUCAUAAUGUUGGGCUGAGAGUAAGCUAACAGGCUUUGACCUAUAACCAGAUUUGGAUAAUGCCAACGUUGGGAAAUAUUCGUGAAACGUA